UGGCGGACGGGUGAGUAACACGUGAGAAUUCACCUUUAGGCGGGGAAUAACUAUCAGAAACGAUAGCUAAUGCCCCAUAUGCUUGUAAAAGUAAAAGGAGAAAUCCGCCUAAAGAGAAGCUCGCGGCUGAUUAGCUAGUUGGUAAGGUAAUGGCUUACCAAGGCGACGAUCAGUAGCUGGUUUGAGAGAAUGAUCAGCCACACUGGAACUGAGACACGGUCCAGACUCCUACGGGAGGCAGCAGUGAGGAAUUUUCCGCAAUGGGCUAAAGCCUGACGGAGCAAUACCGCGUGAGGGAUGACAGCCUUAGGGUUGUAAACCUCUUUUAUCAAGGAGGAAGUUCUGACGUGUACUUGAUGAAUAAGCAUCGGCUAACUCCGUGCCAGCAGCCGCGGUAAGACGGAGGAUGCAAGUGUUAUCCGGAAUCACUGGGCGUAAAGCGUCUGUAGGUGGUUUAAAAAGUCCACCGUUAAAAAUUGAAGCUUAACUUCAAAGAUGCUGUGGAAAC
RNAcentral lists this ribosomal RNA (508 nucleotides) under uncultured diatom. RNAcentral's name for it is "bacterial SSU rRNA". It matches the Rfam family "Bacterial small subunit ribosomal RNA", at positions 96 to 633 of the family's 1533-position model. The record is from RNAcentral. Lineage: Eukaryota; Bacillariophyta.